AGAACGAACGCUGGCGGCAGGCUUAACACAUGCAAGUCGAACGGUUGUAGCAAUACAGCAGUGGCAGACGGGUGAGUAACACGUGGGAACCUUCCUAGGGGUACGGAACAACUCAGGGAAACUUGAGCUAAUACCGUAUACGUCCGUGAGGAGAAAGAUUUAUCGCCCCUAGACGGGCCCGCGUAGGAUUAGGUAGUUGGUGAGGUAACGGCUCACCAAGCCUACGAUCCUUAGCUGAUCUGAGAGGAUGAUCAGCCACACUGGAACUGAGACACGGUCCCAGACUCCUACGGGAGGCAGCAGUGGGGAAUUUGUACGAAUAGGGCGGGCCGAAGACCGUC
Molecule: ribosomal RNA, 341 nt
Filed under: uncultured soil bacterium
Lineage: Bacteria
Description: bacterial SSU rRNA
Rfam family: Bacterial small subunit ribosomal RNA
Source: RNAcentral